AUGGCAGAUGAUGGCUGUAAAACGUGUUCCUUUGGUUGGACUGGCUUCAACUGUCGAGAGUCAUGGAAACUUGUGUUGGUAAUUGUUGGGUCUGUGUUUGGAGGAUUACUUCUUGCAACCUCCAUCGGUCUAAUAAUAAUGGCUGUCAAGCCUUCAAAGAAUGGCUCCAAAAAGGCAAAACAUUCAGGGACUGGGAACCCUUCUCUUGCUAAGGGUCCAUUGAUAAACGGAACCAAUGGCCUGUUAAACAAAGGUUAUGUGCCAGAUAAGGGAAAGGCACCUUUCCCAGACUUUGGGGUGCCCAGAAUACCUCGUGCCACAACUGACAGCAGCUGGGACAACAGGACCAACCUGGAGAUGACACCAAGCAACAGUCGGCAAAACCUUGUCCCUUCAGGGAAGAACUCGCGACUGUAUGAAGAGCACAAUGAGAUAAAUCCAUACUCUCGACCCCAAAACGUCUACGCUCAAGCUCGACCACAGAACCCUUAUGAUCAAAACCGAGCCAACGUCAACCCAUAUGCUCAAAACCAAGGUCGGACCAACCCGUACAACAUGGAUAACGACAGACGGCGAUACUAAUCAAACCGAACGCGACUGAAGUGACUGAAGCAACUCGAUUACAUUCAAAUCAAUGUGAAUGAAGCGACCUCAAGUUAACUCCCCUAAAGCGACGUGACGUGUAAUUUUGAGCGAUCAAAGUUGAAAAAUCUGAACUUUUUAAGCGAUUUCAAGCGACAAAUCCCUCGUCCUUCAGUGGUUGUAGAGCAGAGGCUGCAGCCCCUCCUGCUCCCUCCCACCACAGUGCAGACGGCUGCAGCAGAGAGCUGUACGCAUGCCUUUAAAAAUGACUGGAACUGAAAAGCUGAGCUCUACAAAUAUUUUGGAUUUUAAUUUCUUUUUGUGUGUUUUGAGGUGCUGAGAUAUCUACAAAUGAAUUAGAUGGUCAUUUACAUCAUUUUUCAUGUUUUUUCUAUCAUUUUUAGUUUCGUGGGCGGGCCGAAUUUGAGGAAUGCUUUCCAACCUUUUUUGUCCAAUGUGCCCCUUAUCUUUUCUGUCUUAAUUUGUGUCAGAAGGCUCAUCUGAAAGCUUCACUCAUAUUUUUCUGAUUUGACCAUUUUAGGUGUUGGUCUUCACCUUUUUUAAAAAAUGUAUUUUAAAGAGUUGUGCCACAAUGUAUCAUCGAUAGAUAAGGAAAAUGUCUGUGAGCAAGCGUAAAUUUGUCUCAUCAUUUUAGAAAAAUAAAUUGACAAAUGUUUCUGUGUACCCCCUGAGG
RNAcentral lists this long non-coding RNA (1276 nucleotides) under Gouania willdenowi (blunt-snouted clingfish). RNAcentral describes it as "lncRNA (ENSGWIG00000005062.1)". The record is from RNAcentral. Lineage: Eukaryota; Metazoa; Chordata; Actinopteri; Blenniiformes; Gobiesocidae.